This 1110-nucleotide ribosomal RNA is filed under the name human gut metagenome. RNAcentral's name for it is "bacterial LSU rRNA". It matches the Rfam family "Bacterial large subunit ribosomal RNA", at positions 1268 to 2387 of the family's 2925-position model. The record is from RNAcentral.
GAGCGGUGGAUUGUAUAGAAGUGAGAAUGCCGGUGUGAGUAGCGAGAUGUAGGUGAGAAUCCUACACACCGAAAGCCCAAGGAUUCCAGGGGAAGGUUCGUCCGCCCUGGGUAAGUCGGGACCUAACGCGAGGCCGAAAGGCGUAGUGGAUGGAAAGCAGGCGAAAGAUUCCUGCACCCGUAUAUGGAGCGAAGGAGUGACGGAGACGGAUAGUGUGACCCUCUUAAUGGAUUGAGGGCGAAGCGAAGCGGCUGGUUACCAGGCAAAUCCGGUAACCAAAAGGCUAGAGCGUGACAGGUAAGCGAAAUCUUCGGAAAGUAGCGAAGCACAUGAUGACGGCUUCCAGGAAAAGCUUCUGGCAAUGCAUAUGCGGCCCGUACCGAAAACCGACACAGGUGGGCAGGGAGAGAAUCCCGAGGUGAGCGAGAGAACUGUUGCCAAGGAACUCGGCAAAAUGACUCCGUAAGUUAGCGAGAAGGAGUGCUUAAGCAAUUAAGCCGCAGUGAAGAGGCCCAAGCGACUGUUUAACUAAAACACAGCUCUCUGCGAAGUCGCAAGACGAAGUAUAGGGGGUGACACCUGCCCGGUGCUGGAAGGUUAAGAGGAUCUGUUAAGAGCGAUCUGAAGCAGUGAUCCGAAGCCCCAGUGAACGGCGGCCGUAACUAUAACGGUCCUAAGGUAGCGAAAUUCCUUGUCAGGUAAGUUCUGACCCGCACGAAAGGUGUAACGAUUUGGGCGCUGUCUCGGCAGCAGACUCGGUGAAAUCUUAGUACCUGUGAAAAUGCAGGUUACCCGCAACUAGACGGAAAGACCCCAUGGAGCUUUACUGCAGCCUGAUAUUGAAUUCUGGUCAUACAUGUACAGGAUAGGUGGGAGACAAAGAGACGUGCACGCCAGUGUACGAGGAGUCGACGUUGGGAUACCACUCUUGUGUGACCGGGGUUCUAACCUGGUAUCGAGAACAGGUACGGGGAGAGUGUCAGGUGGGCAGUUUGACUGGGGCGGUCGCCUCCCAAAGAGUAACGGAGGCGCCCAAAGGUACGCUCAGAUUGGAUGGAAACCAAUCGUCGAGUGCAAUUGCAGAAGCGUGCUUGACUGUGAGACUUACAA